Molecule: ribosomal RNA, 121 nt
Filed under: Methanobacteriota archaeon
Lineage: Archaea; Methanobacteriati; Methanobacteriota
Description: Euryarchaeota archaeon partial 23S ribosomal RNA
Rfam family: Archaeal large subunit ribosomal RNA
Source: RNAcentral
GCCUCUGGUCUACCGGUUGUCCGACAGGGCAAUGCCGGGCAGCUACGCCAUAGCGGAUAAGAGCUGAAAGCAUCUAAGCUCGAAGCCGCCCCCGAAAAGAGGUAGCCAAUCCGGACCGGGG